Molecule: ribosomal RNA, 614 nt
Filed under: unidentified microorganism
Description: bacterial SSU rRNA
Rfam family: Bacterial small subunit ribosomal RNA
Source: RNAcentral
GUGAUCUGCCCUGCACUUCGGGAUAAGCCCGGGANCCUGGGUCUAAUACCGGAUAGUACUGCGCGGUGCAUGCCGUGUGGUGGAAAGAUUUAUCGGUGCAGGAUGGGCCCGCGGCCUAUCAGCUUGUUGGUGGGGUAAUGGCCUACCAAGGCGACGACGGGUAGCCGGCCUGAGAGGGCGACCGGCCACACUGGGACUGAGACACGGCCCAGACUCCUACGGGAGGCAGCAGUGGGGAAUAUUGCACAAUGGGCGCAAGCCUGAUGCAGCGACGCCGCGUGAGGGAUGACGGCCUUCGGGUUGUAAACCUCUUUCAGCAGGGACGAAGCGCAAGUGACGGUACCUGCAGAAGAAGCACCGGCCAACUACGUGCCAGCAGCCGCGGUAAUACGUAGGGUGCAAGCGUUGUCCGGAAUUACUGGGCGUAAAGAGCUCGUAGGCGGUUUGUCGCGUCGUCUGUGAAAACCAGCAGCUCAACUGUUGGCUUGCAGGCGAUACGGGCAGACUUGAGUAUUUCAGGGGAGACUGGAAUUCCUGGUGUAGCGGUGAAAUGCGCAGAUAUCAGGAGGAACACCGGUGGCGAAGGCGGGUCUCUGGGAAAUAACUGACGCUGA